Molecule: ribosomal RNA, 1501 nt
Filed under: metagenome
Description: bacterial LSU rRNA
Rfam family: Bacterial large subunit ribosomal RNA
Source: RNAcentral
UGGGAAAUCCGGUUAAUAUUCCGGAACCACUAACGUGUGCUGUGGGAGGACGCAGUAGGGUAGGUAAGACGGCGUAUGGAAGUGCCGUUGAACUCACAAUAUCCCGUCGCUUAGGCAAAUCCGGGCGACAUAAGGGUAAAUGUAGGGACGAAAGUAAGGGUAAAACCUGAAAAAAGUUAUUGACCCCAGCUGCCAAGAAAAUUCUCGUUCAGCUAUACACGCGACGUGACCGUACCGCAAACCGACACAGGUAGGUGGGGUGAGAAUCCUAAGGCGCUUGUGAGAACUCUCGUUCAGGAACUCGGCAAACUAGCCCCGUAACUUCGGGAAAAGGGGUGCCGUCCUCCGGGACGGUCGCAGAGAAAUGUCCCAGGCGACUGUUUACUAAAAACACAGGUCUCCGCAAAGUCGUGAAGACGACGUAUGGGGGCUGACGCCUGCCCAAUGCUGGAAGGUUAAGAGGAGUGGUCAGUCCUGAGCAAUCGGGAUGAAGCUACGAAUCGAAGCCCCAGUGAAUGGCGGCCGUAACAAUAACGGUCCUAAGGUAGCGAAAUUCCUUGUCGGGUAAGUUCCGACCUGCACGAAUGGCGUAACGAUCUGGGAGCUGUCUUAACGAGAGACACAGCGAACUUGUAGUACCGGUGAAGAUGCCGGUUUCCCGCAUCUAGACGGAAAGACCCCGUGCACCUUUACUACAACUUGACAGUGGGUUCGGGCAAACGAUGCGCAGGAUAGGUGGGAGGCUUUGAGCCGAGACUUUUGGGUUUCGGGGAGCCAACGGUGAGAUACCACCCUUCGUUUGUCUGGACUCUAACCUAGUGCCGUAAUCCGGUGCAGGGACACUAUCAGGCGGGUAGUUUGACUGGGGCGGUCGCCUCCCAAAUUGUAACGGAGGCGCUCGAAGGUUGGCUCAGGCUGUUUGGAAAUCAGCCGUAGAGUGUAAACGCAUAAGCCAGCUUGACUGUGAGACAAACAAGUCGAACAGGUACGAAAGUAGGAGUUAGUGAUCCGGCGGUUCUGUAUGGAAGGGCCGUCGCUCAACGGAUAAAAGGUACGCCGGGGAUAACAGGCUGAUCCUGCCCAAGAGUUCACAUCGACGGCAGGGUUUGGCACCUCGAUGUCGGCUCAUCUCAUCCUGGGGCUGAAGAAGGUCCCAAGGGUUUGGCUGUUCGCCAAUUAAAGAGGUACGUGAGCUGGGUUUAGAACGUCGCGAGACAGUUCGGUCCCUAUCUGGUGUGGGCGGAGCAGAAUUGAGGGAAUCUGUCCUUAGUACGAGAGGACCGGGAUGGAUCCACCUCUAGUGUACGAGUUACGGCGCCAGCCGUAGCGCUCGGUAGCUAUGUGGAGCAUGGAUAAACGCUGAAUGCAUCUAAGCGUGAAGCCAGACCCAAGAUUAUUUCUGCCAGUGAAACUCCUCGUAGACCACGAGGUUGAUAGGGUGGAUAUGUAAGUGCAGUAAUGUGCUCAGUUGACCACUACUAAUCAGUCCCUUGGCUUGACC